RNAcentral lists this ribosomal RNA (240 nucleotides) under uncultured bacterium. Its description in RNAcentral is "partial 16S ribosomal RNA". It matches the Rfam family "Bacterial small subunit ribosomal RNA", at positions 524 to 763 of the family's 1533-position model. The record is from RNAcentral.
UACGUAGGGGGCAAGCGUUAUCCGGAAUUACUGGGUGUAAAGGGAGCGUAGACGGUAAUGUAAGUCUGGAGUGAAAGGCCGGGGCCCAACCCCGGGACUGCUCUGGAAACUAUGUUACUGGAGUGCAGGAGAGGUAAGCGGAAUUCCUAGUGUAGCGGUGAAAUGCGUAGAUAUUAGGAGGAACACCAGUGGCGAAGGCGGCUUACUGGACUGUAACUGACGUUGAGGCUCGAAAGCGUG